This 497-nucleotide ribosomal RNA is filed under the name uncultured bacterium. RNAcentral's name for it is "partial 16S ribosomal RNA". It matches the Rfam family "Bacterial small subunit ribosomal RNA", at positions 28 to 507 of the family's 1533-position model. The record is from RNAcentral.
GAUGAACGCUGGCGGCGUGCCUAAUACAUGCAAGUCGAGCGAACGGACGAGAAGCUUGCUUCUCUGAUGUUGGCGGCGGACGGGUGAGUAACACGUGGAUAACCUACCUAUAAGACUGGGAUAACUUCGGGAAACCGGAGCUAAUACCGGAUAAUAUUUUGAACCGCAUGGUUCAAAAGUGAAAGACGGCCUUGCUGUCACUUAUAGAUGGAUCCGCGCUGCAUUAGCUAGUUGGUAAGGUAACGGCUUACCAAGGCAACGAUGCAUAGUCGACCUGAGAGGGUGAUCGGCCACACUGGAACUGAGACACGGUCCAGACUCCUACGGGAGGCAGCAGUAGGGAAUCUUCCGCAAUGGGCGAAAGCCUGACGGAGCAACGCCGCGUGAGUGAUGAAGGUCUUCGGAUCGUAAAACUCUGUUAUUAGGGAAGAACAUAUGUGUAAGUAACUGUGCACAUCUUGACGGUACCUAAUCAGAAAGCCACGGCUAACUACGUG